Cryptococcus amylolentus CBS 6039 is the source of this 84-nucleotide transfer RNA. It matches the Rfam family "tRNA". From Rfam's summary of the family: Transfer RNA (tRNA) molecules are approximately 80 nucleotides in length. Their secondary structure includes four short double-helical elements and three loops (D, anti-codon, and T loops). Further hydrogen bonds mediate the characteristic L-shaped molecular structure. tRNAs have two regions of fundamental functional importance: the anti-codon, which is responsible for specific mRNA codon recognition, and the 3' end, to which the tRNAs corresponding amino acid is attached (by aminoacyl-tRNA synthetases). tRNAs cope with the degeneracy of the genetic code in two manners: having more than one tRNA (with a specific anti-codon) for a particular amino acid; and 'wobble' base-pairing, i.e. permitting non-standard base-pairing at the 3rd anti-codon position. Lineage: Eukaryota; Fungi; Basidiomycota; Tremellomycetes; Tremellales; Cryptococcaceae. The record is from Rfam.
GGAGCCUUAGCUCAGUGGUAGAGUAGCAGAUUCCAAUUCUUCGGAAUAAUCUGUUGGUCAGCAGUUCAAUCCUGUUAGGCUUCA